UCUCAAGGUACAAGAGUGGAACCCUGGGC
Molecule: non-coding RNA, 29 nt
Filed under: Rattus norvegicus (Norway rat)
Lineage: Eukaryota; Metazoa; Chordata; Mammalia; Rodentia; Muridae
Source: RNAcentral